CAUGCAAGUCGAACGAGGAAAGGACUUCGGUCCGAGUACUAGUGGCGCACGGGAGAGGAACACGUGGGUAAUCUACCUUUAGGAGAGGAAUAACCAGUCGAAAGAUUGGCUAAUACCUCGUAGGACCACAGAGAUUUAAAUCUCAGGGGUGAAAGAUUUAUCGCCUAAAGAUGAGCCCGCGUCCCAUUAGCUUGUUGGUAAGGUAACGGCUUACCAAGGCUACGAUGGGUAGCUGGUCUUAGAGGAUGAUCAGCCUCACUGGAACUGAAACACGGUCCAGACUCCUACGGGAGGCAGCAGUAGGGAAUAUUGCACAAUGGGCGAAAGCCUGAUGCAGCGACGCCGCGUGAGUGAUGACGGUUUUCGGAUUGUAAAGCUCUGUUCUCAGGGAAUAAGAAAGUGAAUGUACCUGAGGAGAAAGCACCGGCUAACUUCGUGCCAGCAGCCGCGGUAAUACGAGGGGUGCAAGCGUUGCUCGGAAUCAUUGGGCGUAAAGCGGGUGUAGGUGGUUAUAUAAGUCAGAGGUGAAAGCCCAGGGCUCAACCCUGGAAGUGCCUUUGAUACUGUAUGACUUGAGUGUGGGAGAGGGUACUAGAAUUC
This 600-nucleotide ribosomal RNA is filed under the name uncultured delta proteobacterium. RNAcentral's name for it is "bacterial SSU rRNA". It matches the Rfam family "Bacterial small subunit ribosomal RNA", at positions 54 to 669 of the family's 1533-position model. The record is from RNAcentral. Lineage: Bacteria; Deltaproteobacteria.